This 241-nucleotide long non-coding RNA is filed under the name Ananas comosus (pineapple). RNAcentral describes it as "long non-coding RNA (ACOM_LNC031815)". The record is from RNAcentral. Lineage: Eukaryota; Viridiplantae; Streptophyta; Magnoliopsida; Poales; Bromeliaceae.
UUUUUUUUGCAAAAUAGACUACCUUUUUUGAAUUUUGCAGAUUAAAUCUGAAUUUUUAAUAAACUGGCCAAAAUAUCUUUAUUUUUUUUUCUCUCUUUUUGCUCUCUCUCAUGUUCGUUUUUCUCCUUCCUCUUCGUAUUUCCUUUUCACCAUCCUUUCCUUUCUUUCUUCUCCCGCUUCCUCUCCCUCCUCCACUGCCCCCCACAUUGAUGCUGCACUCCUCUUUCCUACCUUGCUUAUA